RNAcentral lists this non-coding RNA (186 nucleotides) under Bordetella ansorpii. RNAcentral describes it as "6S / SsrS RNA". It matches the Rfam family "6S / SsrS RNA". From Rfam's summary of the family: E. coli 6S RNA was the first non coding RNA to be sequenced, but its function was unknown until recently. It consists of 184 nucleotides that fold into an extended hairpin structure with a large single-stranded internal bulge. Lineage: Bacteria; Pseudomonadati; Pseudomonadota; Betaproteobacteria; Burkholderiales; Alcaligenaceae. The record is from Rfam by way of RNAcentral.
UUGUCCCUGCCGUGUUCGUGACUCGGCCAUAUAUUCUCUGAACCUAUGUCUUACGGCAUAUAGGUUGCGAGAGUGCUGAACUGGCGUGAUCGUCUCUUCGCGGACGAACCCAAGGUUCCGCCAAUCGCGGCCGACUUGAACCUCAGGGUUCGAGAUGCCGGCCUAGACGGCACAGGCGGGGCAUCU